Molecule: ribosomal RNA, 329 nt
Filed under: uncultured bacterium
Lineage: Bacteria
Description: bacterial SSU rRNA
Rfam family: Bacterial small subunit ribosomal RNA
Source: RNAcentral
GACGAACGCUGGCGGCGUGCCUAAUACAUGCAAGUCGAGCGCGUGAAAUACAACAGAACCUUCGGAUGACGUUGUAUGGAUCGAGCGGCGAACGGGUGAGUAACACGUGGGCAACCUGCCUACAAGACUGGGAUAACUCCGGGAAACCGGGGCUAAUACCGGAUAAUCCAUCGAACCGCAUGGUUCUAAAGUAAAAGAUGGUUUUGCUAUCACUUAUAGAUGGACCCGCGCCGUAUUAGCUAGUUGGUAAGGUAACGGCUUACCAAGGCGACGAUACGUAGCCGACCUGAGAGGGUGAUCGGCCACACUGGAACUGAGACACGGUCCAG